RNAcentral lists this ribosomal RNA (253 nucleotides) under uncultured bacterium. RNAcentral's name for it is "partial 16S ribosomal RNA". It matches the Rfam family "Bacterial small subunit ribosomal RNA", at positions 524 to 776 of the family's 1533-position model. The record is from RNAcentral.
UACGUAGGGUGCGAGCGUUAAUCGGAGUUACUGGGCGUAAAGGGUGUGUAGGCGGUUGUUUAAGUUUGGUGUGAAAUCUCCCGGCUCAACUGGGAGGGUGCGCCGAAUACUGAAUGACUAGAGUGCGGGAGAGGAAAGUGGAAUUCCUGGUGUAGCGGUGAAAUGCGUAGAUAUCAGGAGGAACACCGGUGGUGUAGACGGCUUUCUGGACCGUAACUGACGCUGAGACACGAAAGCGUGGGUAGCAAACAGG